UACCAGCACCCCGAGUGGUCGGGACGUUUAUUGGGCCUAAAGCAUCCGUAGCCGGUUCUGCAAGUCCCCCGUUAAAUCCAGCUGCUCAACAGAUGGGCCGCGGAGGAUACUACAGAGCUAGGAGGCAGGAGAGGCAAGCGGUACUCGGUGGGUAGGGGUAAAAUCCGUUGAUCCAUUGAAGACCACCAGUGGCGAAGGCGGCUUGCCAGAAUGCGCUCGACGGUGAGGGAUGAAAGCUGGGGGAGCAAACCGG
Molecule: ribosomal RNA, 253 nt
Filed under: uncultured bacterium
Lineage: Bacteria
Description: partial 16S ribosomal RNA
Rfam family: Archaeal small subunit ribosomal RNA
Source: RNAcentral